UCCGUAGGUGAACCUGCGGAAGGAUCAUUAUUGAAUGAACAUGGAGUUUGGUUGUCGCUGGCCACUUUACUGGGGCAUGUGCACGCCUUUCUCUAUUCAUCCACACACACCUGUGAACUUGUGAGACGGAUAGUAGUCCCCUCGGGGGCGAGCUCCGUCUGCUAAUACAUAAACUCCAGUAAAUAAAUUUGAAUGUCAUUUGAUGUAACGCAUCUAUAAACUAAGUUUCAACAACGGAUCUCUUGGCUCUCGCAUCGAUGAAGAACGCAGCGAAAUGCGAUAAGUAAUGUGAAUUGCAGAAUUCAGUGAAUCAUCGAAUCUUUGAACGCACCUUGCGCUCCUUGGUAUUCCUCGGAGCAUGCCUGUUUGAGUAUCAUGAAAUUCUCAAAAUAAAUCUUUUGUUCAUUCAAUCGGUUUCAUUUUGGACUUGGAGGUCUGCAGAUUCACGUCUGCUCCUCUUAAAUUCAUUAGCUGGAUCUCUAUAAACUCGGUUCCACUCGGCGUGAUAAGUAUCACUCGGCUGGAGGGGGACACUGGUAAAAAGGGGUGGGCCGGGGAUUGGUUGGAAGGAACUGGCUUCUAAUAGGUCCAUUCACUUGGGGACAAUUACUUGAUGAUCUGAUCUCAAAUCAGGUAGGACUACCCGCUGAACUUAA
RNAcentral lists this ribosomal RNA (656 nucleotides) under uncultured fungus. Its description in RNAcentral is "eukaryotic LSU rRNA". The stretch from base 223 to 376 matches the Rfam family "5.8S ribosomal RNA". Lineage: Eukaryota; Fungi. The record is from RNAcentral.